RNAcentral lists this unclassified non-coding RNA (21 nucleotides) under Mus musculus (house mouse). RNAcentral's name for it is "oocyte_clustered_small_RNA5970". The record is from RNAcentral. Lineage: Eukaryota; Metazoa; Chordata; Mammalia; Rodentia; Muridae.
ACAAUGCUGGUCUCUUCUUGA